Molecule: long non-coding RNA, 2258 nt
Organism: Capra hircus (goat)
Lineage: Eukaryota; Metazoa; Chordata; Mammalia; Artiodactyla; Bovidae
Source: Ensembl
GCUUCGAAGUCCCAGGCCAGGGUGUAUUUUUAGCCCAAGCUCAAAAAAUUGUCAGAAAAACUUGCAAGGGCUCCAGGGCCAACAGCAGCAUUUGGUUUUGGCUGAAACUAGAGGGACAGAAACCACAUGCCUCAGAGGGACACAGAAAGGGGUCUGGGGGCGGGUAGCCAGGAUGUCCUGGGGCCUUGCUGUGAAGAGUGGAGGCCUCUGUGGAGGACCCAGGAAGCUGGAAGAGCAGAUAGAAGUCAGGACGCUCCGCCAAAGUGUCCCCACUUCCCGACAAGUUCUGUGUCUCCUCUGCUGGAAGGGAGAGGGUCAGGCCAGAAGCUGCCAUGGCUCCAGCAGACUUGCAAAGGGAAACGGACAGGAUAUGUGCCAGAGUAAGCAGCCAGCUUAUUAUUUCAAAGCGUUCCUUCCUUUGAGAUUCUGUCCUCCUCACCGGCCCCCACUGGACUUAGAGAUGGAAGACCCGGAUUUGAGAUCCAGCCACACUGCUUGCUAAGACUGUGUGACCUUAGGUUGCUACAGAGUACUGAGCAGAGUUCUUUGUGCUACACAGUAGGGUACGUGCAUCCCAACGUCCAUUGCAGCGUUGUUUACACUAGCCGAGUCAUGGAAGCAACGUAAAUGUCCAUCAACAGAAGGAUGGAUAAAGAAUAUGUGGUAUAGAUACACAAUGGAAUAUUACUUCGCCAUUAAAAAGAGUGAACUAAUGCCAUUUGCAGCAACACGGAUGGACCGAGAGAUUAUCACACUAGGUGAAGUAAGUCAGAUGAGGCACUUUAAACCCUCAUACUUACUGUCUUUAUCAGAGUAGGAGGCUAAUUCUGCUGACUUCAUCUGUUUGUGAUGAGACUCAAUAAUAAUGAUGGAUGGGAUAGUGAUCUAUGGACUAACUGCUGAGAAAUGCUUGUAAAGUGCUCUGACCAUUUCUUAGUACCAUCAUUAAAAUAAUCAUGAUUAUAAUGACCUGUUUAAGGGGAAACAACCAGCUUUGUUUUCAGACUUAGAUUUAAAUCUUGGCUCUGCUAUAUAUUAGCUGUGUAACUUUGAGCAAAAGAUUAUUAAAUUUAUCUAUGCCUUAAUCUCCUCAUUCAUAAAAAUGGACAUAAGACCAUCUAAUUAAUAAGACUGUUGGGGAAGUUUAAGAGAGAACAUAGGAAAAGUGUCUGCUAUGCAGCAAGUUUCCAACAAAUGUUUCUUUUUCUUUUUACCUUUGAUUAAUUCCUUUGGGUAUUCUUUCAAUGUUUAUUGAACAUCUAUUAUAAGCUGGAUCUUGUGCCAAGCACUUGAAAGUCAAGAGAUAAAGAUUUGAGAAAUGCAGUGUGUGGCAAGGAUGGGAAAGAUACUAUAGCAAUUCAACGGGCUGAGUGGUUUACACAACCAACUGAGAGGGACAGAUGAAUCCUGUCCAGGAGCUCAGAUGACACUUGACCCUGGCUUUGAAAAUGUGCACAGGACAUCUCCAAGACAGAGACACCAGGAGAGGGCAUUUUAAGCAGGGAGACUUGGAACAAAGGCUCUGAUGCCUAGAAGUGCACGAUCUGUCAGUGGCAGGAGACGAGGCUAAAGAAAGCAAGAACCAGAUUAGAAGCAUGCAAGCAAUCGAUGCAAAGACGUUGGACCUUAUCAGAGGGCAUUGGGAAGCCUUUUAGAGGAUAUAAGCACGGAAGUGACAUGAUCAGAUUUGCAUUUUAGAAAAGCUGCCUAGCAUCUGAGGAAUGGCCUGGAGUGGAAAGGGGGGCAAGCAGUAGAGUAAGAACAGAGGCAAGAACAAGAACAAGAAGCAAGUGGGAUGGAAGUAAUUCAGGGGACAGAUAAGGCUCAAAUUAGGGAACUAGCAGCGGGAAAGAAGAGGUUGUGAACUAAGUGAAAAUUUAGCUUAGCGAAAUAAAGGAAUAAGAGUUGACUUGGGUGUCUGACUCAGGAAAGAGGGAGGGUGGUGACGCCAUGAACUCAGAGAGGAAACAAACUUGAUAUAAAUGAUCCCCAAAUGUGCCUUCUUCAGAUUCCAGAGACGCUGGGAAUAGGAGUGACCUUGUGAUGAGCUAAUGAUGUUCCUCUGAUUAGGGACGAGAUUAAGGGGUUAAUAUCCUCAAGCCUUUUAAGGCUGAGAGAAAAGGAGUACCUCCUUUCAUGUCCCAUUUGUGUACUUUGGAGGAGGAGUCAAUGUGAUUGUUUCAAAGAGUAUGAACAUUACUAUAUUAUUUUACAACUGCUUUGCAACCAUAACUACUAUAUUAUAUGAUAUAAUGUGG